AGACAUACACACACAUACAGGUACAUAAACACACAUAUAUACACAUACACACAUAUACACACAUAUACAGGCACACACACACACACACACACACACACACACAGAAUGGUGGUACAUGCCUGUAACUCCAGUACUCAGGAAAUGGAAACAGAAAAAUCAGAAGUUUGAGGAUGUCCCUCCCCAGCUACAUAGCAAGGCCAAGCCAGCCUAGAUUAUGUGAAGCUGAGAGAGAUACGAAGGCAUACAGAGAGACAGAGAGAAGAAGAAGGAGGGGAGGAGAGAGGCCCCAGCCAGAUCGAUCUCCCUCCCAGCUACCUCUAUCCCAAGCCCUCAGCACCUCCUACCUGGGCCAAGGUGCCUUCUAGAAUGGUGGCCCUGGGGUCUGAAGUUGCAGCCGCAAGCUCUUGCCACAGUGGAGUCCAGAUGUUUCCUGGGGAGAUGCUAGGGGACGGAGAGAAGAAAUGGGAGCCAUGUGUGCUAACUAUGUCCAGGCAUCCCCAGCUCUAUGAGCCUCUAUGUCACUUUGAUCAGCUCACCAGUUGACACGGACACCAUAUCGACUCUCAUCCAAGGCCAAAGCUUUGGUCAUGGCAGUCACUGCCCCCUGCAGAGGCAGAGACCAAAGAGGGUUUAGUCUCUGAGAAUGAAGUCCCUCUCAGCCUCUUCUUCUAGGCAACAGCAGCAUUGGCUUCGACCACCUGGAAGAUACUACCUAUGCAUGGACUCUGUGUAGCUCAGUUUGUGACGGGUUGCCACAAUUCAAGACUAGAUGAGGAAUACAGUGGAAGACACUCUUGGGACAUCUGUGACCCCAGACUUGGGAGCUAAGACAGGUGGAUUGCCAUGCAAGCAGUGCUAACCUAGCUAAGCUACAGGCUGGGAUGCUCACACGAAAGCUAGAAGGUCCUCGCAAGGUGGUCCAGCAUUAAAGGGGCUUGCUGCCAAGCGGGACAACCCGGGUUUAGGCCCUGGGAUCCACUAAGCUGUCCUUGGAGCUACAUGUGUGCACAUAAAGAGAUACAUGUAGACACAUAUUAAAUAAAUAAAAAUGUAAUAAAAAUCAGUGCUGGAGAGAUGGUUCAGCAGUCAAGAGCACUGGCUGCUCUUCCAAGGGAAGCAGGUUUCAUUCCCAGCACCCCAGGAUGGCCCAGUUCUCAGUACCCCAGGAUGGCCCAGUUCUCAGUACCCCAGGAUAGCCCAGUUCUCAGUACCCCAAGAUGGCCCAGUACCAGGGAAUCAGAUUCCCUCUUCUGAAAUCAGCAUGAACCAGAAAGGCACCCAUAUGUCAGGCAAAACACUCACACACUUAAAAUAAACAUAAAUACAUACACUUUUUUAAAUGACUUUACUGCUCUGAGUUCAAGGCCAGCCUGGUCUACAUAGAGAGUUCCAGGACAGCCAGAGCUAUGCAGAGAAACUCUGUCUCAAAGAUUAUAAAAUAAAAUAAAUAAAAUUGACUGGUAAGGAUAAGGGGGUUUGGGCUGGAGAGAUGGCCCAGUGGGUGAGAGCACUGACUGCUCUUCCAGAGGUCCUGAGUUCAGUUCCCAGCAACCACAUGGUGGCUCAUAACCAUCUGUAAUGGGACCCGAUGCUUUCUUCUGGUGUGUCUGAAGACAGUGACAGUGUAUUUACACAUAAAAUAAACAAAUCUUUAAAAAAAAAAAGGAUAAGGGUGUUUUUUGCUGCUAAGCCCAGGUUCCUGAUUUGGUUCCUGAGACUCAUGUCUUAGGAGAGAGUUAACUCCUGAAAGUUGUUCUAUGACCACUAUCACACACACACACACACCACACACACACACACACACACACACCACACACACACACACACACACACACACACACAGAGAGAGAGAGAGAGAGAGAGAGAGAGAGAGAGUAAAAAAAAAUUAAUUAAAAAAGUGGAGGCAGAUUACAGGCUCAAAGCCGAGACCUUUCUGAGCAGCUCAGAAAGAUGGAGCCCCCUAGAGGCAGGAGGCAGGUGAGCGGUCAGAUGCCUCCCCUGAGGACCUCCAAAUGCCAGGUUCCACCCACAGCGGGACCUAGCCCAGCUCCUGCCCUACAGAGUAAAAAAGUCCAAACUCUGGACUUGAAAUCCACCAAUCCCCACCCCGGAAAGUGCCAUAACCACCACCACCCCCCAAGCACUGCAAGGAAUCCUAUCAAAAGCCUGCUUCUGCCCAGUUCUCUCCUGCCAGAGCAGAGGCAGACUCCUGACUGUCAGGAUAGCUCACCAUCCAAGCUGUAACACACCGACUGCCAGGACACCUUCCCCUCAGAGCUGGGACACUCACAAAAGGACAGGAGGAAGGAGAGGGGCUGGCCUACCUUGGUGGCCACAUAGGUUAGUGCCUGGGACUGGCCGAUGGCCCCGACCAGGCUGGAGAUGUUGAUGAUAUUUCCUUUACUCUUCCGAAGGUGGGGGAGGGCAAGCUGUGGAGAGGACAGGUCAGUCACCGGCAGCUGGUCCUGGAGGGCGGCCACCAGCAUCCUAAAGUGUGGGACUGCAACCUCUGCCCAGUGGGUCUCAAUGGGCACAGGCAUAGUAGUGGCACAUCUAUGGUAUGCCCCCUCCGCAAGGGAUAGCGCUCUCUCGCUCUCUCUCUCUCUCUCUCUCUCUCUCUCUCUCUCUCUCUCUCUCUCUCUCUCAUGCAAUUACACAUGCAUCUGUCUGUCUGCCUGUGUCUUUUCUCUCCCUUCAUCUGUUAUUCCGUUUCCAAGCCUGUCAAGCUAGGGAAACCUAAGCAUCACACAGAACCCUGCCUCUCUCGCCCAACUAGGAGGAAGGGUUUUAUUCAGCAGAGGGAGAUGGUAUGUCUGUAUUGUACGAAGAACUCUGUGGUCAUGACGUGAUGUGGGAAGCCUCGGGAUGUGUCCCACUUUCACCACCUUCUGCAGCUCUCCAGGGCCCCUCCUCCACAGGUGUGUUCAUUCCCGGCGUGACCUUCAUCAGCUCAGUCUGUUCUCCAUGGCUGUGGGCUCUAGAGCUAAGGAGGCACAGCCUAGUCUUCCCACGACACGUGACUGAGCACAAACUCGCUCCUGAGGAGGCUCCUAGAGCAGGAACCUGAGAGGAUCCCUACUGUAGCCACCCCGAAGCCUUCCACCCCAAAUGCAGCCUUCUCCCUUUUCUCCAUGUGGUCCGCGACCUCAGAGCCUCUUGCCUGGACCACCCCAUCCUGAGAAAGCCACACCGGUCACACAGUGCCCUCAGUUUGCCUUGGAGUAAGAGAUCCCUGGGGACUGUCAUGGGUUGUCACGUGCCCUCCAGUUCUGUAACUGAUAUUGCAAUAGUGAGAACAUCCCAGGUACAAGGGCGCCCUGCCCAUCGGGGCCCCUCUUCGCCUCUUAAGGGGGCUGGUGACAAUAAGUGUGACUGGAUCUCAGGAGGUCAAAAGCCAUAAACCCAUGAGAGGUUCAGAGGGCUGUGAAGUCUCUGAACCCAGCCCUGUAAGGGAGGGAGGCCCUCUGCUCUCCUCAGGGGAUGGGCUCACCCUUUCCCGCUUCACACACAGCCUUCCUUACACCCUGGAGCCCCGUUCCCACCCUCUACCUAAUGCCACCUGGCCUCAUGUCCUUGCCACCUUCCAUAAUGGCAGUCCCUCAUAGGCUCUGAUAUCUUCCUUGGCUAUUCUCUUCCCUGUACCAGGUGCAGAGCUCUCACUCAAUAAAUAUUUGCCCCUCUCCCCCGCCCCUUUCUGGGAUAUGUCCCUGGCUGACAGUCUCCCUGUGUGCCUCUAGGCAGCUCCAGAGGGCCCCAGCUUUUACCACCUACCCCAGCUGUCUGUCCUGUCUUAUUUAUUACUUGGUCGUUUAUCUACUUCUCACUCUGUUUUGUUCUGUUCUUGCUUACUUGCCUUCAUAUCUUUAUGUUAGUUUAUGUGCACCAGUGUUUUCCUUGCAUGUCUGUCUGUGAACCACAUGUGUGCAGUGCCUGUGCAGGGUAGAAGAGGGCAUCAGAUUCCCCAGAAACUAGGAUUCUGGGACUUGAACCCGGUUCCUCCUAAAGAGCAGCCAAUGCUGGGGCUGGGGAUUUAGCUCAGUGGUAGAGCGCUUACCUAGGAAGCGCAAGGCCCUGGGUUCGGUCCACAGCUCCGGAAAAAAAAGAACAAAAAAAAAAAAAAAAAGAGCAGCCAAUGCUCUCAACAGGUGGGCCAUCAGUCCAGCCUGUCUGCUUCUUAAAGAUAAGGUCUCUCACUGACUCUCUGAAGCCCAUCGACUCUCGUAGGCUGACUGUCGAGUCAGCUACUGGAACCCACCAGUCCCUGCUUUUCCAGCGCUGGCUGAGAUUACAAGCACAGACGCUGGGGUUCCAAACUCAAGCUCACACAGCCAGCACUUCGACCAACUGAAUGAGCUUCCAGCCCUUCAGGUAGGGGACACUCGGGCCAUUCCAACCAGCAGAUUCUCUCUUGAUUCCCACUUAUGAGCAUCUACUUCACUGUCUUCCUGAGGUAGAAAACAGGCACAUGAAAGAUCUCUGUGUCCCCACCCUCACCCCCAGGGCAUUCACUGUACCAAUCUGCUGAGGAGAACCCCCUCCUUCACUGCCUCAGCAUCCUUUUCUAAGGACCUUGUACAUGCUAGGGACACAGCCAGAGUGGUCAGCAAUCGCAUUCCUAGACAAGCCCAAGUGCUGGGAUUUAAGGAGUGAGCCCCCCCCAUCCAAACUCCAUGGUUCCUAUUGCUGACAGAAACAAGUCAGAGGGAAAGAUGUCUAUUUUCAUGGGGCUGAACUUCUAGGGAGAGGCUGGUCAGUGAGUGCAGCAUGGAACAUUCUAGAAUAUGAUUAGGAAGCUCCCAUCACUUUCUUGCUCAACCAUCUUCCUCAGCUCUCUAUUGUUCCUUUAGACACUGUAAUACCAUCUCCACCCAAUCCACACAUGCACACCUAUUGGCAGCAGCAACUAUUCUGUCUGUCUCAUAAGCCAUGACCGUCACACCGGCUUCCUUUCCUUUCUCUCUGUGUAGCCAAGGUUGACCUUGAGCUCCUGAUCUCCCUCCACUUCCUGAGUGCCGGGAUCACAGGUUGCACCAUCAUGCUUACUUAGUGCUGGAACUCCAGCUGCAUCCUGCUGAGCCCUAGCCACGACUUCCGGUUCUUUCUUCCUUUUUCUUUUUUUUUUUUUUUUAAGGCAGGGUUUCUCUGCGUGACCCUGGUUGUCCCGAAACUCUCUCUGUAGACCAAGCUAGCCUGGGACUCAGAGAUCUGCCUGCCUCCUGAGUGCUGGGGUUAAAGGCCUGUGCCACCACAGCCUAGUUCACUUUGGAUUCUCUUAGCAUCCUCUUUGCUACCUCCAAGCAGGCUGGAAAGCUCUGGAAGAUUGCGAGGAGGGUGUAACUUCCCAGGUGGAUGAAGACUGGCAGUGUCCUUCUAGAUCCUGAUUCUCCACCUUCCUGAUGCUGCCACCCUCCUGUCGUGGUGGUGACCCCCACCCCCAACCAUAAACUUAUCUCUGUCGCUACUUCACAACUGCAGGUAUGGAUCUCAGCGUAGAUAACCAUGCUUUCCGGUUGUCUUAGGCAAGCCCUGUGAAGGGAUCUUCAAUUCCCAAAGGGAAAUUGAACCUCGGAUUGAGAACCGCUAUACUGUAAUAAGGACAGGAAGCCAAGGGGCACAAAGCGAUGUGCUCCGGAUGAACUGAAGGGCACACAGCAACUGCAGCUCUGCCUGUCUCACCUUGAUCAAGGUGUAUGCCCCCAGGAGGUUCUCCUCCAGCAGCUGGCGGAAGCCCUGGGCAGAGGUCUCCUCUGGCAACUGUGCAGAAAACCACUUGAGCCCCACUGUCCACUGCCAACAGAAAGAGAACGAUGUUACCUGCCCUGCAGACUUGCGUCACUGCCUCUGCUGCCCUCUUGUGGCCACCAGAGCACCUGCCUCUCUGGCGGCUCUCGUGAUUGUCUCUCUCACAAGAUUGUCUCCACUCACAAGAGCAACAAAUUACCCUUCCUCAUUAAGCCACUGCUUGGCCCCCAUCCUGGAUUCUAGAAAAAUCCAAAACCUACAAACAAUAAAACACACAAAGCUAUCAUUUGCAGCUAGGGACCCAUCUGGGGAAGAACUUUUUUUUUUUUUUUUUUUUUUUUUUGGAUUUUUGAGAUAGAGUUGCUCUGUGUAGCCCUGGCUGUCCUGGAACUCACUCUCCUGGCUGGCCUCAAACUCAGAGAUCCACCUGCCUCUGCCUCCCAAGUGCUGGGAUUGUAGGCAUAUACCACCACUGCCAGGCCAGUGGAAGAACUUUUAAUGACCGACCUAUCAACAAAGACCCAACAAUCCAAAUGGAUUCAUGUAAGAAUGAAACGGAGGGACCAGAGAAAUGGCUCAGCGGUUAAGAGCACUGGCUGCUUUUCCAAAGGACACAGGUUCAGUUCCCACCGUCCACAUGGCAGCUCACAACUGUUUAUAACUCCGGUUAGGAGGGAUCUGACAACCUCACCCAGGUACAACGACAACGCACAGAGAAAAUUAAAAACAAACAAAUCAUUAAAGAAAUGAACCUGAGUCUCCUCCUCCCACUGUGGGAGCCUCUGCCAGCCGCUCUUUCUCUCCUACAAUUCAGGCAGCAGGCGGGAAGACCCUUACUCACCGAAGGCUCUCACGAUCGCAGCCCCGAUGCCCCGACUGCCCCCAGUCACCACCACCACCUUCCCAGAAUAUCGGCCUACUGCAGCCAUUCCCAGCUAUCUCGCUCGUGUCCCACACCCUCUGGGCCUCUUCCCACCUUUAAAGUCCAGAGAAGCGGGGGAGUGGAACCAGAUAUACAGGCUGGGUCACUGAAGGCUGACCCUGGCAGGGGGAGUUCCCAGGAAGGCACACCUAGGAGAACUGAGGACUCUCCUUCCUAGCCCUCUUUCUCAGACCCAGGGUCCCCACCCGUGAUGAUCCUCCUUCAGACCCAGGGAUCCCCAUCCUGACACUCCUCUUCCAGGCUCAGGGACCCCCACCCCAGCUCUGCCCCCUCAGACUGACUCUAGCCCUGCUCCCUUUGACUUGUAAGACCAGCACCACUUCUGCCUUGACUCAGGAUCCAGACUCCAACCUCCUCCCUCAGACCCAUAUUUUAAGAUGUAGCCCCCCAAUGUCCUGUGAAUCCAAGGCCCUGACGCUUGUUUGUCAGAACACAAUGUCACAACCACAGAGAGAAUAAAGCUAUUUAUUGACUA
Molecule: long non-coding RNA, 7160 nt
Organism: Rattus norvegicus (Norway rat)
Lineage: Eukaryota; Metazoa; Chordata; Mammalia; Rodentia; Muridae
Source: RefSeq, a predicted model, not a curated record